Long non-coding RNA from Liolophura sinensis, 5069 nucleotides. RefSeq lists it as uncharacterized. The transcript is spliced from 3 exons. NCBI's taxonomy places the organism in Eukaryota, Metazoa, Mollusca, Polyplacophora, Chitonida, Chitonidae. The record is from RefSeq and is a predicted model, not a curated record.
UACCCCAGUGUAUGUAAGCAAGGUGGCAGCACAUCUGGAAGGGAUUAAUUUCUCCUUGGCAUCUAUUGCCCCUGAUGACCCCUGCUGGUUAAUCUCAUCCUAUCAGCCCAGCCUUUAUCAAGUGGCUAAACAAGAUGGCUGCACCAGCAGUACACAGGCCAAAUGAAAACUCAGUACAAAAGCAACCACUUGUAACUGUUCUGAGUUUUUGUAUUUAGCUAUGCCUCAGUGAUUGUCCUAACACAACACAGUUCUCAGAAAUUACAUAUCACUGCAGAUGCACAUAUACUGGAAUUUAUCAUGCUUUUCGACUUUGACAUUUUGAGUCCAGUGUACAUGUUCUCUAUGGCCAGUCAGUAAGCAUGUGUUAUUAUUGUUGAUAGAUACAUAUAUAUAGAUAUUAACUGUGUAUAUACAGUUAAUAUGCAUAUAGGCUAUCGCAUGGUAAUAUUGUAUUUAGUUUAUAGAUAUUAUCAAAAUACCCUGCGUGACCCGUAUCAUUGUUCCUCAUGCGGUAACCGUUCUGGGUUGUACAAUAUGUAUACAGCCCCUAGCAUAAAAAUGUACCACUCAGAUUAUUAUUGCAUACAGUAGUCUACAUUAUUGAUUUGUAACCUGCAUGUUAAAUGAUCAAAAGAGUAACUUACGAAUGUUAUGUUUUGGUUGGAGGUGAAGGUCAGCUGGCAUAGACCAGUAUGCCUUGUUAUAUAUGAGAUAUGACCUGGCAUCAUAAAAUGCAUUUGUACCCAUCAUAGAGUCAUCUAAAUUUCUAAUGCGAGCCUGGCCCCUUAUUAGCCUGGCAACGUACUCGACAUUAUGUUUAGAUGCCUCUCUUAAACAGGAUACCGGUAACCCUGUGACCCUUGGCCUCUCUAGUAUUGACUAUAUUGCAAUCAUUGUUAGCAUGAUGUCACUUGGUUUCUAGAUGCCAUGCUUAAACGUUACAUGCAUUAUGGCCUGACUGUCAGACUGACCUCUCAACUUCAACCUACCUUGACCUACAUGUAUGUGUACAGGUCGCUGUGUAUACAUGUGGACACACAUGUAACAUGUAUAUUAUAUAAUUGGGUUAAUAAUCAUGUCCAACAUCUUAACUUGUUUAACUUACCUGUUAUGACCAUAUGGCACUUCUAUUAAGUCUUUGAAAGCUAAGUUCUAAAUUAUUUACUCAUUAAUACUUGAAAGCUCUAGUAGCUCCCCCAUUUCCCUCCAAGACAGCCGAGCAGUCAACACGUGUUUUACCAAGAUCACAGCCAGUCUUCAUUCAUACAUUUCACCCAGGUGCUGUACCGUCUUGACUGCCAGACGUUACCCUCUAGGCUGCUUCUCCUUGUGAGCCCCUCAGCGGGAACACUAUCCAAACUCAGAAGGAAGGAAGGAAGGGAAAGGAACAUAUUUUUACAGAUCUCCUACUUUUAUACUGAUUACCUCUGUCUUAAAUAAUAAAUUCUCAGGCUGUGGCACUUGUGAAAACCCACCAGAGCAUUUGCGUUCUUUGUCCAGCAUAUAUUUAACACUUGUUCCCCAAACGCCAGUCACGUGUCCAACCGACAACGUAAGAUAGUCUCGCAGGUGAUUCAACCGCAGACAAACAGGUCUUACAGUAGUACGCAUGUACAUAACCUGAUUCUAACCAGAAACCUAAAGCAUGUUUACUGCUAAAUGUUGAUCAUAGGUCCGCGGAACAAUCGAGUGGUCAGGCUAAGCCUAAACAAAACCCCACUUGUUUCUCCCAGGGAGAAAGGGUACACUUCACCAAAAAAAUCUAUAUAUUUUUAUUUUGGUGGCAGUGGUUUAGAUUAUAUGUGUAACACAGUGUGUGGGCAGUGUAAGAAAUCACAUCAGGGGAAUUCCAGAGUAGGAAAUACUUUUCACUCGGGUGACGUAGAUUUCCACUCCUUAAAUACAAUAAGUACCGGGGGUAUUCAGUACGUAACAACGCAUGACCAUUAGUCAGUGUCUGUUCCGAGUCUCUAACCAGAUACAGCGCCACUUUCAAGGCAUUUUCAAAGACAGCCGGGAUGAAGUGUACACCUAAUCAGUCGCUAUCCUUGCUACCGGCAAUGAUAGUGGCACUCUUUUUAUGUAAGAUUGGGGAAUCUUUGGUGUCUGCCAGGCUGUCGACUGUCCACAUUAACGGCAGGUAUCCCUCGUUUUUUCGAUGAUAUAGAGGGGCGCUGUUCUCCAUGCUCUGUAGGGGUAUGCAAGACCUAUCUCACACUGCCAGAGCCUUGUGUAUGCACUUGUGUUCGAGAUUACCAGAAUCGGACAUACAGGGAAGAAGAGAAACGUUUGUGCCAAGAUAAGCUAGGUAAGACUUACGAUAUAGCACAGCUUAAUCUAUGCUCAGUCAUAUGCCAUUCAAUUGCAGGCAGAUUUUGUUCCAAAACUGUUCUUCAGUAGUUCAUAUUUGUACUACUAUGUUUGUAGUUGAAAAGACAAAAUUCUGGGGCUAUAGAUUAUAUACAUAAUGUUUAUGUUCGUUUAUUUUCUUAAUCUGUAUGCAGAAGGAUGUAGCUACAUGUUGUUUUGUAUCAACGUUUUAUGUCACACGGUAUACAUAAAAAAAAACAAUUGAAGAAAAAAUAAAUAUUCAUAAUAUGUGUGACUUGUUGCCAGGGCCUAGUCUGUAUAUGAACAUGUCCUCCAUGUAACAGCCUGGCGAUUUUAUUUUGCUUUAUAUGUCUUUGCUUUAGCUCCCAUGCUUAAGUAUAUAUAUAUAUAUACACACGACUGAAUAUUUCAGGGGAGUUAACUAACACAUCCGACUGAAAGCACCCACACAUCAGGCGUUUUUGAAGUAGUGGUGUUAGUGUGGCUAACCGUCCUGACGGUAGUUUGGGUUGUUGUGGUGAUAGUCCUGAGUGUAAAAUGGCCCAGGGUCAAAGCCUCCAUUCCGGAAGAUGAACCACUGCUGAUCAAUAAUCCUGACAAGUUAAAACAACAACAACAACAAGAAUGCCGCUGGCUGUACCAGCAGCCCGAUCUCCAGUCCUAUAACUUUAGUUCCCAAAAUUGUGGAGACAUAUGAGCCCAGCAGCCAUCCUGUGACGUCAUCGCGGCCAGAUACCUGUACGAGUGUUCCAAAACAGGAGGAGAAUCCAAACAUAGAUUCGGAUCAGACUCCUCUGAAGGUCAUGGAGAGUGGCGAGCGGGGCUGUCCUGUUUCUGAGGUGGGUCCUGGCAGUCCCAAAGUUAGCCUACCGGAUAACGACUGCCAAAUCUAGGAGUGAAAACCCGACCGACAUGCGCAAGUCCCCUAACGCCUUGUGGCAAGAAUCCGGUCAGCAUGAAGAUGCACGCCACGCGGGAACCCGCCAACAAAGAGGCCCCGAAGCUCUGGCGGAGGGAAAUGCAGAUGAAAAACAUACCGCACUUCCCAGGAUAGCCCGAUCUCCUGGGGCAGACAGACGUGUGGAACGCGGGCAAUGCCAGAUAAGAGAAACGCUCAUACCGACUGGUCCAACAAAUGAUUAUUCGUGUACAAGACGAAGUAGACUCCUGCAUCCAUAUACAGUAGUACCGGCAUACUUUUGCUGAUUACGUACAGUCGUAAAUCUUCCAAAAGUUUAUUAACGUGGCCUACUCGUUAAUGUAAACUGUAUACAGUUGUUUAGCCGUAAACAACCAUUACAUCACACCAUGGCGAUGUGCAGGAUAAUAAGUUGUAUAAUACUUUACCACGUGGAAUUCUCCCAUCCAUGUCAAAUGUAUAUGUAUAUAAUUUAUAUAUCACCGCGUGAUGUAAAAGAUGUUAUUUCCUUUAUCAUUGUAGUAGAACAACAUAAUCAAUCACAGACUCUAUAUACAAUCCAGAGAUAAUAUGAUACAACACAAAGAGAUACCAUAGAUUCGUGUAUAGGUGCUAUAUACUGCAGGGCUUCCGCUGGCGCUCGCCACUUUCGCUAGUUGCGAAUAAAAUUUGAAUUGGCGAUAAAAUCAGGGAAAUGUCGAAAGUUUUUGGCGACAAAAUUAUUUACUCGAGAAUCUAUACUGGCUAUUGAAGAGGUGGAAAUGGCGACAGUAUGAAGACUCGCAAUGCACAUGGCCAUGUGUUGUUCUUCUCUUUUCUAACAGAAAUAAUAGGUUGGUGAUCGCCAUCACAGUUUCGUCUAAACCAUGUGCGCAGAGCUUCCGCUGGUGCUCGCGAUUGUUGAAUUUAGAACACUUUUGAAAUGGCGAUAAAAUUCGAAAAUAUGCGAAUGUCUUUGGUGACAAAUUUAUUUACCUAAGAAAAUGUAAAAAACGUUAUACACAAAUUACCUGGCAAAGUUUUCCUAAUACUUUUUAGGCAUGAGAGUUUUCUGUGGUUUUACGCGUAUUUUCGCUAUUUUUUUGACGAAAACAAUCCAUUUACUUUUAUUUCAAACGGCUUCAUUUCGGCGAAACAACAACAAAACAGUCACGGCGAUUUUGAUUGACAGAAAUCUACAAAGAAGGUUCAGCUUUCUUGGAAGUUGACUUACAUUAGAUAACGCUUGAAAAUCAUUUUUGUUGACUAAUGAACGAGAAUCAUGGCAUUUUUGGGUCUGCCUUUCACGGCCAAAUCUAAUGAAAACAAUUAUUACGGGAGAUAAAUAUACAGGUAGUGUUAGACGUGUAAAUGAAGUUACCUCCCUUGAAACAUUUAACCCUUCCGCCCUUGAAAUAAAUUUACAAAUUUAUUUUGUAACAAAUUUUUAUGACAGAGGAAAUUGGAUUUUACUAGUACCCUACACAGAUUAACUGAAAAAAGGUUUGAUUUUUUUGCAAUUGUUCUAGACAAUGGGACAAACUCCAGAUAGAGCUGGAAGUGACCCAGAGGAAGCCCUGUACUGAUUGAUGGCUAUAUAAUAUGCAUGGUAUACACAGUCGUUACGCUGAGCAUAGCUUGGUUGUACCUUUAUAGACCUAUAUAUUUGGCUAUUAUAUGCAUAACUUAGAAAAACAUAACUCGCAGUUAGAAAAGAACAGUAUAAGUUCCGGUUUGAAGUUGUAGAAAUAAUCUGCCGUUCAUGUUGUAAACUCGUACAUUCUUAAUGUGAGUAUAUACCUGCAUGGUUUCUAAUAAAUUGCCUACUGUAUAUUCA